UACGAGGGGGGCAAGCGUUGUUCGGAAUUAUUGGGCGUAAAGGGCGCGUAGGCGGUGCGGUAAGUCUGAUGUGAAAUCUCCGGGCUCAACUCGGAGUCUGCAUCAGAAACUGCCGUGCUUGAGUGUGGGAGAGGUGAGUGGAAUUCCUGGUGUAGCGGUGAAAUGCGCAGAUAUCAGGAGGAACACCGGUGGCGAAGGCGGGUCUCUGGGCCGUAACUGACGCUGAGGAGCGAAAGCGUGGGGAGCGAACAGG
RNAcentral lists this ribosomal RNA (253 nucleotides) under uncultured bacterium. RNAcentral's name for it is "partial 16S ribosomal RNA". It matches the Rfam family "Bacterial small subunit ribosomal RNA", at positions 524 to 776 of the family's 1533-position model. The record is from RNAcentral.